AACAAUCUAUCCAUCUGACCAGCAGCCAGGAGCCAUCGGUCCAAUCAGCCAUGGAGGUAAUGGAGCGUGUUACCCUAAAGGAGGAGGACAUGACUAAGCAGGAUUUUCCACGUAUAUAUUUUCACAAAGAACCUUUUCUAUGAAACUGUACUCUACUUUUAACCACAAAACGUAACCUAGCAUACAUUUUGCAUAAACCUCUUGCUCUACUUUUUCAAAAAAACUCCAGCGUCUACAUCACUGCUGAUAACAAUAUGGCCAUAUUCCCUGGAAAUCAGGGUCAAUUCAGAACUGCUGACCUUACAGUAAAGGGACAUUAUGAAGUGCAUGGAGAGAGUGACGAUGUGGGGGAGCAAGCCGGGGCGUCUGGACCAUUCCCUACCCACUUCUCCUUCCACCGACCAGCAAAUGCUGCUGCGGUCUCAGGUCAUAACUCAGCUUCAACUGCAAGGCCCUCUCCCAGAGCACCCAUGGCUGAGACAUUUCAAAGGACCAUCUUCAUUGCUGAUCUUGUGGAUGGCUGAUUGGAAACAAGCAAAACCCCGACAGUUUGAUUCUCAGAAUUUGAGGCGAACGUCAUGGGAAAGUAAGGUAAAUGAUGCCCUAGAACAGGAGGACUCGUUCAUCCUUACCGAUGACCAGGGAACCAGAUCUUGGACACAGAGGGAACCAGAGGUGAAUUAAUAAAUAAUAAUGAAUAUUUAUAACCCUCUGGGUUUAACACAACUGCACCUUUUUCUGAAAAAUUGUAUACUUUAUGUACUUCUAAAUAAACUAUCUUCUUCUCAGGAUCAGUGUUUUGGAAGGUUUGUGCUGUGAAGGAAAGAGAUUUGCAGCAGUUACAAGGAAGCAAAAAGAGGAGACUGAGAUGAUAAUGGCCUGGAUACAGUGUUUGAUACUAUCGAAGAGGUGGUCCUGACAGCACAGGGUCUUCUGGAGGUGUGAACUACAAUCAAAGAGCUGACAAACCUGGCAAGUUCCAACCGAAGAACAGUGUCCUUGACAGAAGCUGAAACAGCUGUAUUGUCUGCAGGGGUAAAU
This is a long non-coding RNA of Melanotaenia boesemani (Boeseman's rainbowfish), 1041 nucleotides long. RefSeq lists it as uncharacterized. The record is from RefSeq and is a predicted model, not a curated record. The transcript has 3 exons. Lineage: Eukaryota; Metazoa; Chordata; Actinopteri; Atheriniformes; Melanotaeniidae.